AAAUAUGUAAAGAUUCUCCAUUUUCAACAAGAUUGGAAGUUGUAGGUUAACUUGUAUUUGACAUUACAAAAAUUCUAUCUAUUUUCCGUUUAUACUCAUGUCUAGUCAAAACACUUCCAGCAGUUUAAGAAUGGAUAAUCUAAAAGAAAAAGAAAGAAAAAAGAAAAAAAAAUGUUCAAUUAUUGAAAUGUAUUUUUUUUUUGCAAAUUGUAAUGUAUAUAUUUUUGCCAUCUUUUUGUUAUUUUAGGAUUUGAGAUACUUUCAAAUUUUACACGUUACUUUAUACAUAUUGUUAAUGCAAUUAGAUCUGCCGAUGUGAAUAUUCCCACUAAAUUUCUUAGCAAAAAUUUUAAUUAUUUUUGUUUUUUGUUAGCAACGUUUCAAAAUACCUUACCAUAGCAAAUGCCUCUCUAGUGUAAACUGAAAAGAUGAAUAAUGGUCUGCAGUAAAUAUAUCCCCUUACAACCUUUUCUUUCAUGUUAAUUUUAAUAUCUUUAAGAUAAUGUGACAAGGGUGCUCUAAUGCAGAGGAAUUUAUGAAGUUAAGAAGUUAGAAAUAUAUUUUUUGCACUUUUUUUGUCAUUUUUAGCUGAUUUUGGUUUGUAACCAAGGUGAUAUUUUUUAAAGAAUAAUUUUACAAAAGGCAUAGUUGAAGAACAUCUUGUUGAAAUUGGAUUGGUUGAUUUUUGGUGUUAAACACCACUUUAACAUGAUUUACUAUAAUUUUGGCUGUAAAUUUUUAUUUGUGGAGACAGCCAAAGUGCCUGGUGAAAACAUCACCUUCAUCAGGGAAACGGGCAAACCCUAGUCAAAUUAAGAAUGAAGUUACACAUUUCAUGUGAGGGUUCUCAGUGUUGACAGGCUAGUGAUGCAGUAGUUGAACUACUUAUAGGACCACUCUGCCACCAUAAGUCGAUCAGUACGAAAUAUUUUAUUGAAAUGUGUUAGAUUUUUGUUAUCAAUCUAUUUUUUAAUUUUAAUUGUACUAUUUUAUUUAUUUUGUUUGAUAUAACAAGGAUGUGGAGUCCGAACAGGGUGAAAUUUGGGUCAAAGGGAGGCAAUUUAUUAUACCCCUGUUUAACUCCACAUACUUGAAAUUCCCUCAAUGUUAGGAUUUUCAUCCACUUGGAUAUUCAUGUUUGUACAUUUUUUUUUAAUAUCAGAUGUAUACUAGCUAAUAUUGACUAUUAUUUAGAGCUCUGUAAUAAAAAAAAAUAAAUGUAAGCAGAGCUCUAGAUAAUAAGUAUGCAGGGUAGGAGAAAUCUUGGGUCAUUAACAAUUGAUUUGCUGAAAUUUUCAAGAAAGGGGAUUUAUUGGAAAUGCAUCUGAUAUAUUUAAUAUAUAAAACUAUAUUUAAAAAAAAAAGAUGUUAAGAUGAUGAGGAGAGCCACCUUGUCAGCCGGGAGAGCAGCUCUAAGGGAGAUGGUCUUUUUAAUCUUCACCAAGUCUGAGGCUUUACCAUGAAAAAUAUGUGGUUGUUAUAAUGAUGAUGUUUUCAUGGUGUUGGGAGUAAGACUUGGAUGUCUGAUAUUGUUAACAUGUUGGUUAGCAUCAGGUUUCCAUUGGAUUACUUGCUGGGAUAAAGCUGUUAUAAGUCGAAAGAGUUGCUGUUGUUGCCUUCCUUGUAUUGUAAAAUCCUCAGACUACAAUCCUGCAAACCAUUGGAUGAACUUUUGCUAUCUUUUGUAAAAAAAAUCAGCAGAUAUUUGUCUUAUAAGCAGAAUGAAUUAUAAAUGCAAUUAAUUUUUAAUGCUUUAUUAUUCAAAUUAUAAUAUUUCAUUAUUUUUUCUUGCAUUCAGUUAUUGUUUUGUGAUUGAAGAAAUAUAAAAAAAAACUGUGAAAUUAUUGUUAUUUGAGAGGUCCCAAAGGUAUGAUGUAUGGUUUCACAAGAUACCCAUAAGACUUGCUUCAGUUUACAUAUAUUUUUUAAGUUAUGUACACUGGUUAAGAAUUAUAAGUCCUUUGUGAAAUGAUUUUUUCUGGUUAGAAACCUAUUAAGUAGGACUUUGAUGGCCAAACACUAAAAGGGAAUAAAACAAAUCCCCUAUUAAACAAUUUAAGUACUGAGUUUUUGGUGCAAUAUGAACUAGAAAUAAAAAUGUUUAGUUAGAUGGUUUGUUUUGACUCUGCAUUCUUUACAUUCAUACAAAUUAAUGGCUGUCAGUUUUAUUUAUUGGUUUUGUUUAUAUAUUAUAAAUGCAUUAUUCAGCAUCUGAGACCACUCAAGUGAAAAUAAUUACAUAGUUUUUGCAGUUUGUCAUAUUUUCUCAUUUUUGUGUGAUUGAUUUCUAUAUUUUUUCUCAUUUAUGAUUAUUUAUAUUUUAAUGUUUGAUUUUUGAGACUUGUACUCAGCUUCUAAACAAUUACCUCCCCCCUCCACAUGUAUAACCAGGAUCCUGUAAAAGAAGUUUUGAUUUUGCAGGAUGGAUGGAUAAUUAAAAAUGCAAGAUUUUUUUAAUGUGCUAGUUCAUAAUGUAAAAGUCUGCACAAGACAUCUAACCCUACCUGAACACAUUAUUCUGACUUCCAGCUGACCAGUCUUAAUGCUCCUACUCCUAAUUGCUGAAUGCUUAGCAGGGGAGCAUCAAAUACCAAUUUUCAAUUCUUUGAUAUGACCCAGGGCAGGACCAAAUCCCAUGCCCAUCUGCACUCAUGUUGAGCAUAAAAAGGUUAUGUUGUCUCCUCUUUGGUCGGGUUGUUGUCUCUUUGACAUAUUCCCCAUUUCCAUUCUCAAUUUUAUUAAAGAAGAUUUGUCUGUCUGUCCAUCAUCAUCUCUCAUCCACAGCUUAUAAACUAUAGGAAGGUUUUCAUUUAAACUUUCAGAUUAUCUUCUGUAUCUAAUGGCUGUGUGUAUUUUAUUUUAUUAUAAUGAAAUUUUGGGGUUCUCAAUUGUAAUGAAUGGACCUAAGUAUUUGAAAAAAAAAGGGAAAUAAGCUUCUCAUACCACCAUUUUAUCAUGUGAAGGAUAGGUUGGUUCAAAUAUAUUUGUUUUUAAUCAUGUUUUUAGUAGUUGGAUCUCAUUAGGACAAAAUUUUAAUGACUUAAAUUCAAAAUAAAUUUGGGGUUCACACUGAUAUAUAUUACCACUGUAGCUUUAAUGUAAAUUUUAUAAGGCUUUGCUAUAACAAGAUUUGUGUUUUAUCUUGUUUUAUCUGAUUUUAGUGGUUUUUAUGUGAUUUUAUUUGUUUUUACUGUCAAAUCUUGUUAUACCAAGCCUUAGUAUGAUUGAGUUUAUAUAUUUUGAUUAUACAUGCAAUUCAAAAUAUAAAUUUACAUAAUGAGAUCAGACAUUUAUUAUGCUUUUAACUCUUCUUAGUGGAUAAAAUAGAAAAAUGAAUGAACAUAAAUAUUGAAGUGGUCGUUGAAGAUUGACCAAAUUACAAGAUUUAUAAAUGCAGAAUCUUGCUCCAACUAAAUCUAUGUUCUUAUCAGCUGAACCAACCUAUCCUUCAAUAUGAGUAAUUAAAUUUUAUAAAUGGAAAAGUCCAUUCUUCGAUUUGGGAACCUUUGGAUGUGAAAAAAAUAUACACAAUGCCAACAGAUACUGAAGAUUAUUUGAAAGUUUAGGCAAAAACAAUUCAAUCCUUUAAUUGUGAUUGGAAGUUGUAGACGGAUGAGCAAACAGAUGAUAUACUUGCUUACUAUGGUACAUUUCCUAAAGGAUAAAUAUGGACUAUGGGUAUGGGUUUUGCUCAUGGUUGAAGGCUGUAGGUGACUGAUAGUUGUUAAAUUCUAUGUCAUUUGGUCUCUGGUGGAGAGUUGUCUCGUUGGCAAUCAUAUCUCCUCUUUUUAUUUUAUAUGAAAUAAUUACUUAUUACUUCCUGGGCAAAAAGUUCUGGUUCCAAGAAAAUAAUAAAAAAAAAUACUUAUAUCAUACAUGUAUUGUUAAAUAACUAUCCUACUUUGAUAUAAAGAAUUGACUUUGGUUAGAAAUUGGGAGGAAUUAUAAAGAAACUUUAUAUACAAUAUAAGAGCUUGGGGUUAUAAAUUAAUGUUUAAUGAAAUGCAGUUAACUAUUUCCUUGGUGAUCUAAUAAUUUUUGCACAGAUCAUGAUAUUAGUUUAUUUAAAUAACCCAGUAAAUAAAUUGAGUACACCUCAUUUAUAAAUGAAUUUGAUUCAUGUAUUUUUAUGCAUUUUUUAUCUUAGUAUUUACCAUUGUAUUCCUUGUUAUAUUUGUAAAUGCCUCUUCGUAUGUGAAAAACUGAGGAUUCAUAUAUUUUAUGGAAUUAUAUAAAUUUAUUUUAAGUUUGGUAUUUAAAAGUAUUGGAAAGCACCAAGUUUAAUAUUGAGCAAAAAAAAUAUUCCUUUAAGACCUAAGGAUAUUAAAAUUUAAGACAUGUAUCUCAGAACAGAAUUGAUUUUCUAAAUUCUAUUUAAACAGCUAGUCUGGGAACUGGUAUCAAGAAACUAAAAAGAAUCCUCAGCUCUGUCAGUUAUUUUGUAUAAUUGUAAUAUUUAACCAAUGAUACCUUAUCCAUGAUGCAGAUCCUUUUCCUCCUUUUACUUAUAAAGGGACUAAAAACUUUAUUAUUACAAUUUCUUUGUUAUUUGUACACACUUGAUGGAGCAGAAUGGGUCUGGUUUCAUUUGGGUAUUUUAUAUCAUGAUGCAUGAUAAUGAUAUAAAUAAAUAGGUAAAUAAAAAUUUAAUUGAGAAAA
Molecule: long non-coding RNA, 4659 nt
Organism: Mytilus californianus (California mussel)
Lineage: Eukaryota; Metazoa; Mollusca; Bivalvia; Mytilida; Mytilidae
Exons: 4
Source: RefSeq, a predicted model, not a curated record